UUUAUGUUUUUUUUUUCUGGUGUUUGUGUGGUGUAUGAUUGGAUUUGGAAAUAAAGUUUACAACUUUGGAGAAUUCUUCUUUCGGAAUGAAAUUGUUUCCAGGUUGUUGAAGUUUCAUGUUAAAAAAACUUGUUCCAUUUGCUUGUUCUUGUUAAAUAACUUGAAGUUUUGAGGUUCUUAUUCCAUUUGCUUUUAAGGAAGAUGAUAACUUUGUUAAAGGAGAAAGGAAAUAGAGAAUAA
This 240-nucleotide long non-coding RNA is filed under the name Capsicum annuum. Its description in RNAcentral is "long non-coding RNA (CANN_LNC000055)". Lineage: Eukaryota; Viridiplantae; Streptophyta; Magnoliopsida; Solanales; Solanaceae. The record is from RNAcentral.